CAGAAGGUCACAGAGUAGUCAGUUUUCUAAAGAGGGACAUGCAAGAAGCACAGAACCAGGCAAGACUUAUUGAAUGCACUCUUGGAAGAUUCUCUGCUGCAGGAAUUCUUAGUGGGGGAUGAGUCAUCAAGGCUUCCUGUCUAGGCAGCAAAUGGAGCUCUCCUGAUUCACAGGCACCCUGAUCUUGCAGGUAGACACACAAGCAGGUGUGUCAUUGCAAUAGCAGAUCCAAGAAGCAGCAAGGCCACCCAGGCAUGAGAGGAGAAACAGGACAUUCUGCUCCCAGUUUCCUCUUUUCAAGGCCAUCAGCACACCCAUCUCAAGAAGGAGGUCUGUGGGCUGGCUGAGAGCAGCAGUGCUCUUUGCCAGCACUGUGGUAAGCUGUGCUGCAGGGCUGGGGAGGGUCCUGCCUCAGCCCCCAAAGGUUGGGAGCUGCCUCAGCUCUUGACAUCUGUUCCUUUUCUGCAGUAAUCACUGGGAGUGGCCUUUGGAUGUCAAGUCCCCUGUUGCUGCUUGCAGUGUUCCCACACUUACAAGCUGAGAGGAGAAGAUUUCUGUCCUUGUUCAUCAACAGCUUGGAGAUACUAGGUCUUAGCAAGGCAUCCACAUCCCUCCAGAUGAUGUUUGGCCCUACACCUUUCAUCUCCCGGGCAAAGGCUCUGAUCUGCACUUGAUCUGGAACAAUCACAACGGCCUUUGUGGAUACAUGCAAGUGCAGGACGCAAACAGCAUCUCUGCAAAUACAACUGUUAUGUAAUGAAUGCCAAAUUCAAAGAAAAAUGGCAGAAGACUUUGGUAGACUUUGUUGGUAUUUAUAAGUCAUCAAGGACAUGUAGCUCCAGUAUCACAUAAAUAUGUGCAAUAUGCUUAAUAAGAGAUCUCAGGACAAAGGCUUGAAUGCAGCAUCUCAGCCUGUGGUGUAGUGUGAGCUGUAUUAUGUCUUGCAAGAAACUGUCCUUCACUGAAGAUACUGCUAUAGAUGCCUAAGCACACUUCCACCCAAAACAAAGGCAGCUCAGGAAUUUGAAUAUUGUGGGAAGACUGGCUUUGUCUGGGUAAUAUUUUGGGAAAGAAAUAUGUGUGGGUAGAUGAGAGGCAGUUCAGGUGGGAAGGAAGGAGAGAGCAUGUGGGAAACAGGCAGUGAUGCAGAGCUGCAGCACAGCCAAGUUAUGUGGAUGCCUGUCCUGGGAGGAGCCUGAGAGGCUGGAGAGCUGGCUAGGAAAGAUCCGCUGCUCUGAGAAGAAAAGUUGCCUCCAGUGGUUUGUGUCCUACUGUGUUUAUGAGAGCUGACUCUAUAUUGUUCUACAUAAAAAGAGUUGCAUCAAAAAUGCUGGUCUUUGCUAUUAAUAUCUGUACUUGGAAAAAAAACUUUAGGGCCUGAAUUUUGUGCAGCUGGAAUGGUGUAGGAUUUCAUUUAAUUUAAUGUGGCAUGUUUUCUCCUUUUCCUUGUGCUUCUUCCUUUUCCUGUAGCACAAAAAGCAAGAUCCUGUCUGAGGGCAAAAGUUGGUCCAAAAGUUGGUCCAAAAGUUGGCUCAGCUGGUGUUGACACCUACAGAAGAGGCUGACCUUCAGAUACUUAACUCUCAUCCAUCCAAGUCAAUGUAAGAAAUCCACCUGACCAGCUGUGCUACUGAUGGAGUCCUUCAUCUCAGAUAAACUAUGUUCAAAGGGGAGAUAUCAAAUCAAAGUUUAGUCACAGGGCUUAUUGAGCAAAAACCCCCUGCAGCCCAUAAUCAGAAUAUCGUACAUGAAGCAUAUUUAGACCUGAAAAAUAAUUCAUAGAGAAAAAUCCCUGCCACCUCGCUGAGUCCUGAUAAUGUUCUGGGAGGUUCCACACUUUCUGCUGAGAUGUUUAAAGCAAACUUAGUAGCUAGAGAGGUCACCUAUUAAUGGAGAUGCUACCUUACUGGGCUUCUCUAAUUGCAACCAGCAGUCAAUUUGUUGCCAUCCUGCUUGGCCUCUAGCUGCAAAUGGCAGGGAAAAUAAAACAGCAGCCAUUGAGAUUCA
This 2007-nucleotide long non-coding RNA is filed under the name Chloebia gouldiae (Gouldian finch). Its description in RNAcentral is "Erythrura gouldiae (Gouldian finch) lncRNA (ENSEGOG00005010569.1)". The record is from RNAcentral. Lineage: Eukaryota; Metazoa; Chordata; Aves; Passeriformes; Passeridae.